This 253-nucleotide ribosomal RNA is filed under the name uncultured prokaryote. RNAcentral's name for it is "partial 16S ribosomal RNA". It matches the Rfam family "Bacterial small subunit ribosomal RNA", at positions 524 to 776 of the family's 1533-position model. The record is from RNAcentral.
UACAGAGGGUGCAAGCGUUGUUCGGAAUUAUUGGGCGUAAAGGGUGCGUAGGCGGCGCCAUAAGUCACCUGUGAAAUCUCCGGGCUUAACUCGGAGCCUGCAGGCGAAACUGUGGUGCUGGAGUGUGGGAGAGGUGCGUGGAAUUCCCGGUGUAGCGGUGAAAUGCGUAGAUAUCGGAAGGAACACCUGUGGCGAAAGCGGCUCACUGGACCAUAACUGACGCUGAGGCGCGAAAGCUAGGGGAGCAAACAGG